This 468-nucleotide ribosomal RNA is filed under the name uncultured bacterium. Its description in RNAcentral is "partial 16S ribosomal RNA". It matches the Rfam family "Bacterial small subunit ribosomal RNA", at positions 28 to 507 of the family's 1533-position model. The record is from RNAcentral.
GACGAACGCUGGCGGCGUGCUUAACACAUGCAAGUCGAACGGAAAGGCCCUGCUUUUGUGGUGUGCUCGAGUGGCGAACGGGUGAGUAACACGUGAGUAACCUGCCCUUGACUUUGGGAUAACUUCAGGAAACUGGGGCUAAUACCGGAUAGGAGCUCCUGCUGCAUGGGGGGGGUUGGAAAGUUUCGGCGGUUGGGGAUGGACUCGCGGCUUAUCAGCUUGUUGGUGGGGUAGUGGCUUACCAAGGCUUUGACGGGUAGCCGGCCUGAGAGGGUGACCGGCCACAUUGGGACUGAGAUACGGCCCAGACUCCUACGGGAGGCAGCAGUGGGGAAUAUUGCACAAUGGGCGGAAGCCUGAUGCAGCAACGCCGCGUGCGGGAUGACGGCCUUCGGGUUGUAAACCGCUUUCGCCUGUGACGAAGCGUGAGUGACGGUAAUGGGUAAAGAAGCACCGGCUAACUACGUG